This 468-nucleotide ribosomal RNA is filed under the name uncultured bacterium. Its description in RNAcentral is "partial 16S ribosomal RNA". It matches the Rfam family "Bacterial small subunit ribosomal RNA", at positions 28 to 507 of the family's 1533-position model. The record is from RNAcentral.
GACGAACGCUGGCGGCGUGCUUAACACAUGCAAGUCGAACGGAAAGGCCCUGCUUUUGUGGGGUGCUCGAGUGGCGAACGGGUGAGUAACACGUGAGUAACCUGCCCUUGACUUUGGGAUAACUUCAGGAAACUGGGGCUAAUACCGGAUAGGAGCUCCUGCUGCAUGGUGGGGGCUGGAAAGUUUCGGCGGUUGGGGAUGGACUCGCGGCUUAUCAGCUUGUUGGUGGGGUAGUGGCUUACCAAGGCUUUGACGGGUAGCCGGCCUGAGAGGGUGACCGGCCACAUUGGGACUGAGAUACGGCCCAGACUCCUACGGGAGGCAGCAGUGGGGAAUAUUGCACAAUGGGCGGAAGCCUGAUGCAGCAACGCCGCGUGCGGGAUGACGGCCUUCGGGUUGUAAACCGCUUUCGCCUGUGACGAAGCGUGAGUGACGGUAAUCGGUAAAGAAGCACCGGCUAACUACGUG